Molecule: ribosomal RNA, 448 nt
Filed under: uncultured bacterium
Lineage: Bacteria
Description: partial 16S ribosomal RNA
Rfam family: Bacterial small subunit ribosomal RNA
Source: RNAcentral
AACGAACGCUGGCGGCAGGCUUAACACAUGCAAGUCGAACGCAUCCUUCGGGGUGAGUGGCAGACGGGUGAGUAACGCGUGGGAACGUGCCCUUCAGUUCGGGAUAACCCAGGGAAACUUGGGCUAAUACCGGAUACGUGCGAGAGCAGAAAGAUUUAUCGCUGAAGGAUCGGCCCGCGUCUGAUUAGCUAGUUGGUGGGGUAAUGGCCCACCAAGGCGACGAUCAGUAGCUGGUCUGAGAGGAUGAUCAGCCACAUCGGGACUGAGACACGGCCCAAACUCCUACGGGAGGCAGCAGUGGGGAAUAUUGGACAAUGGGCGCAAGCCUGAUCCAGCCAUGCCGCGUGAGUGAUGAAGGCCUUAGGGUUGUAAGCUCUAUCGUCCGGGACGAUAAUGACGGUACCGGAAGAAGAAGCCCCGGCUAACUUCGUGCCAGCCGCCGCAGUAA